GCCCCUGACCUGCUGUUUCGGGUACCAACCGGUACCUGCGGACAGGACUGAAACCCUGCAAACUGUCCUCCGGAGCCGGGUGCGCAGGUUCGAAUCCUGCCGGGGGCA
This 108-nucleotide transfer RNA is filed under the name Actinomycetota bacterium. RNAcentral's name for it is "tRNA-OTHER". The record is from RNAcentral. Lineage: Bacteria; Bacillati; Actinomycetota.